GACGAACGCUGGCGGCGUGCUUAACACAUGCAAGUCGAGCGGUAAGGCCCUUUCGGGGGUACACGAGCGGCGAACGGGUGAGUAACACGUGGGUGACCUGCCCUCAGCUCUGGGAUAAGCCCGGGAAACUGGGUCUAAUACUGAAUAUGACUCCAUGACGCAUGUUGUGGGGUGGAAAGCCUUGUGCGGCUGAGGAUGGGCCCGCGGCCUAUCAGCUUGUUGGUGGGGNGAUGGCCUACCAAGGCGACGACGGGUAGCCGGCCUGAGAGGGCGACCGGCCACACUGGGACUGAGACACGGCCCAGACUCCUACGGGAGGCAGCAGUGGGGAAUCUUGCGCAAUGGGCGAAAGCCUGACGCAGCGACGCCGCGUGAGGGAUGACGGCCUGGUGUAAC
RNAcentral lists this ribosomal RNA (396 nucleotides) under uncultured bacterium. RNAcentral describes it as "bacterial SSU rRNA". It matches the Rfam family "Bacterial small subunit ribosomal RNA", at positions 28 to 429 of the family's 1533-position model. The record is from RNAcentral.